Amphiprion ocellaris (clown anemonefish) is the source of this 2566-nucleotide long non-coding RNA. RefSeq lists it as uncharacterized. NCBI's taxonomy places the organism in Eukaryota, Metazoa, Chordata, Actinopteri, Pomacentridae. The transcript is spliced from 5 exons. The record is from RefSeq and is a predicted model, not a curated record.
ACAUUAGUAGUUUGCCCAUGCGGUCUUCACAUUAUCAGUUAAAUAACAUGCAGUUGCGGUCUGCGCCCGCUAGAGGGAGACACAGACCACCAGAUCACAUUAAAAUCCACAAUUUCAUCUCAACCUUGUUAUUAACCCCUUACAUUCUGGACACUUGUUGAAAUUAGUGUCUUUUGGGUUUUUUGACCCAAAUUAUUAUAUUUUCUUUCAGAAACUACAAUGUUUAUGAUUGUAUUAUAUAAUUUAAUUAUUUGUGCAGUAUUGUAAUAUUGUCUUGUUUUGUUUGUUUCCUUUGUAGACCACACACACACCCCUAUACUCCUUCAACCUAUUCAUACUGCAUCCAGCCCGUCCUGUCCAACUUCAUAUUAAAGUUCUUGGAAAUACUCUCCGUGCCCUUCUCUCUGACCAGAGCUCUGUCGAUAGUAGCUAUCAGACCAGAAACAUCCCUUCAGAGUGUCCCACUCUAAUACACAAAACAUACAAAAAGGAUAUAUUUUGUCAGACUUUUGCCUUUAAAACACCACCAGUGCUCCACUGUAAGCUAGUUGUUCCAACAACGUGGCAUGUAGGCUGUUUCAGACGUCUUGUAGAGUUUGCAGCAGCUCUUGUGCAGACGUCGGACGUCUCUUUACAGAGUCAGAAGGACUCCAUGACUUUGACAUCAGCUCUGUGAGGAACAGACUAUCUGCUGCAGAACCACUUGUUCUUAUAAAUAUUUUUGAUAUAACUGUACAUCUUAAAAUAAAGUGCAGAACUUGAAAAAAUAAUGACUGAACAACCUGAACCAACUUAUAUACAUAUUUAACAUUAACUAAAUCUGAAAUUUAAAAUCUCGUUACAAUUUACUGAUUACAGGUUUGGGCGAACCUGUUGACCAGCCCCCACUAGACACAGGCCCACCGGGACAGUGCCCGGUAUGCCAGACGGCCAGUCCACCCUUACUACUACUACUACUACUACUACAACUAAUUGCUCGACUGUUUAAAAAUGGCAGUUCUGUGUUUUCACCGUUGACCGUUGGUCACCGCAAUCCUGCCCCCAGUCCCGUGACGUUCGCGGUCCCUAACUCUGGCCAACAAAGAGUCCGUGCCUGAAAAGAACCAGUUUUUGGAGCCAAACACAAAGAACUGGUGCUAAGUCAAGCACUGGCUCCAAACUAGCACUAGCAUGAACCAGCUUGGUCAAAAAGGGGCAGAAGAGAAAGGCAUUGGAGAUGAAGUCAGCAUAACAGCGCCACUCUGUGGUGAAUGUGAGCUGUGUCCUGUAAACAUGUGAAAGGUAAAAUUCUCGUGUAAAUUAGCAAAACGUCCAAGUAGCCUAGCAAAGAGUGAGCUAAUGUCUUUCCAAGCUAAUCGGCCAUAACGUGGCAAUGCAGAGGGCUAGAGACGCGGGGCCAACUGUCCCUGAAAGCUCUCAAAGAGCUCUAUGGCAUAUGUCAGAACCAGGUCUGUAGCUCGUUGUUUAGCAUACCAGCUCCAACUCCAGUCAAACUCCGCAGGCCCACUCAGACUCCUACCCCCUCACACCUUCUGGCUCUGGCUACUGAAAAGCAGCAAGUCGCUCAUUUUUGGUCGUAGAGCCUCGAGCCACACAUGUACGGAAAGGAGUAGGUGCGCUGAACGUAGAUGUGCGAAAACCCCAAAAUACCUUCUUUCCUUUUGAAUGAAUUAAAGGUUUGACUUUCUGGGUAACAGGAAGCAGGACGUGGACCAGCAAAGUUUCCUCAGAUGAGCAAAAGUUAACUCUCUAAAUUAAGUGUUUUUCUUUCUUAGAACCUGCUUAAACCUGGUAGUUUUUGACUUACAUCAGUGUCUAACAUCACUAUGCCAUGCUUUUCAGUGUCUAUAUGCAUUUUCAGACUUUUAAAAUAUCACUUUUUAUCACUUGUUUGUGUAGUACAUGGCAGAUGAUGGUAUAGAUGUGAAUGUGCACUGCCACCAGAUGUGUUUCUAUGAUUAAAUUUUACGAUUUUUCCACUUUUGACACUUCCCUCUUAAACCCCUCUAAAUGUACAGGUGAAGGCACAUGGUUUCCACAGGCUGGAAGAAUGGUAUGUAAAAAUUUAGAGUGUACUUUGUGGUUAGUUAUACAAAGUUUGCUUUGGAGACAGAUCUCUAAUUUGGUGUGUUAUUUUUAACUUUCCACAGUCCAAAGCCUGUGGAAUUUGUUUUUUUAGCUUUGUCAACUUGAGACAGCACCUUAGUUCAACACACAACGUUAAAAAUAAAGACGAGUUGAGGCUUUUGCUAAAAUAUGGGAGUGCAAGAACUUCAGAAGCCCUCUUGUACCCAUUGUGUAGGAAAGCCAAGUUUGUCCGGCUGGACAAGCAUCUGCAGGAGAAACAUAAUCUUCUCUCAGCAGAUACAAGGUCGUGUGGAGGCAUUGGAAUUUAGCAAACUUUGAGAAACACGGAACCGGAGGUGCCCAUGGUGUCCACUUUGGACUUCGGGAACCCUGAAGAAAUGGAUUUGACCAAGCUGGAUCACUCUGGACUACCGACAUCUGGAAUGACUAUCCAUCUCCGGGGGGAUUUUGUCCGGUGGCGGCACCCAAAGUGACUCAG